RNAcentral lists this ribosomal RNA (2478 nucleotides) under Triticum aestivum (bread wheat). RNAcentral describes it as "partial small subunit ribosomal RNA". The record is from RNAcentral. Lineage: Eukaryota; Viridiplantae; Streptophyta; Magnoliopsida; Poales; Poaceae.
AUGGUGGAGGUGGUGGCCACCAUGGCCAUCCGGCCACUGGUGUCCAAGCUGAUGAACAAGGCGUCCAGCUCCCUCCUGGACCAGUACAACGUGAUGGAGGGUAUGGAGAAGCAGCACAAAAUUCUCAAGCGCAAGCUUCCGGCCAUACUUGACGUCAUCAUCGACGCUGAGGAGCAGGCUUCGGCUCACAGAGAAGGGGCCAAAGCCUGGCUCCAGGAGCUCAAGACAGUGGCCUAUGAGGCAAACCAAGUCUUUGAUGAAUUCAAGUACGAAGCACUCCGCCGUCAAGCCAAGAAGAAGGGGCACCACACCAAGCAUGGCUUCGAUAGAUUAUUCCCUAGUCACAACCGUAUUGUGUUCCGCUACAAAAUGGGCCGUAAGCUUUCUAUGAUUCUGCAGGAGAUCAGCGUCCUCAUUGCAGAGAUGCAUGACUUUGGGUUGAGGCAGACACUCCCGGUAUCCAGUCAGUUGAGGCAGAAGCUCAUGUCCAAGCAGUGGAGGAAGACAGACUAUGUUAUCAUCGACCCACAAGAAAUUGCCAGCAGAUCCAGAGACAAAGUUAAGAAGAAUAUUGUCGAUGCACUACUUGGUGAAGCUAGCAAUGCAGACCUCACAGUAGUUCCCAUCGUUGGAACGGGGGGCCUUGGCAAGACCACAUUAGCGCAGCUUGUAUACAAUGAACCAGAAAUUCAGAAGCAUUUCCAGUUGCUGCUUUGGGUCUGUGUCUCUGAUAACUCUGAUGUGAACUCCCUGGCCAAGAGUAUAGUUGAAGCAUCUCCCAAGAAGAAUGUUGAUACAGACAAACCACCACUGGAUAGACUUCAAGAAUUGGUCAGCAGGCAGCGGUAUCUCCUUGUAUUGGAUGAUGUCUGGAACAGAGAAGACCAUAAGUGGGAAAAGUUGAAGGUCUGUCUUCAGCAUGGUGGCACCGGUAGUGCAGUGUUGACAACAGCUCGUGAUAAACGAGUUGCUGAAGUUAUGGGUGCAGAUAGAGCCUACAAUGUCAAUGCUCUGGAUGAUUACUUAAAGGAACUUAUUGAGGCUAAAGCAUUCGGUUGGGAGAAAGAAAAGCCUGAUGAGCUAGUCAAGAUGGUUGAUGAGAUAGUGAAGAGUUGUUGUGGCUCUCCCUUAGCUGCAGCUGCAUUGGGCUCUGUACUUCGUAACAAGACCAGCGUGGAAGAAUGGAAGGAUGUAUUAUCUAGAAGCAGCAUAUGCACGGAAGAAACUGGAAUUUUGCCAAUACUAAUGCUUAGCUACAAUGACUUGCCAUCACACAUGAAGCAGUGCUUUGCUUUUUGUGUUGUAUUUCCCAGGAAUUACAGGAUUGAUGUGGAGAAGCUGAUCCAACUAUGGAUUGCAAAUGGCUUUAUCCCAGAAUACAAGGAAUAUACUCUUGAAAUCACUGGACAACAUAUUUUUAAUGAGCUUGCCUCAAGGUCAUUCUUUCUGGACAUAGAGGAACAUAAAACAGUCUGGGAGAAUUAUUCCAGAAUCACAUGUAAAAUCCAUGAUCUUCUGCUUGAUAUCGCGUUGUCUGCUAUGGAAAAGCAACCUGCUGAUGUAACUGAGGAACCAAGUCAAAUUGAGUGUCUUCCAGCCUUUCCAGAUACUGCCCGGCAUUUAUUUUUGGCGCGUGAAGAAACAGAUGGUAUAUUUCUCUCUCAUGAAGAAACAAAAGGUAUUUCAAAUGAAUUUGUGGAGAAAAGAUCCGCUGUCAUCCGAACACUCAUAUGCGAUAGUUUUAUGGGACGCUCAUUGCAGCAUAUGACAAAAUACAGCUCUUUGCAUGCCUUGAAGCUCCAUAUAGGGAGAGAAUCAUUUUUGCCGAAGCGAAAGUAUCUGCGUUACCUGAGGUACCUUGAUCUCUCAGGAAGUUUUAUCAUAGCACUUCCUGAAGACAUAAGUAUUCUGUAUAACUUGCAAAUGUUGGACCUUUCCAAUUGCCGUUUUCUUGAUCGCCUUCCGAGACAAAUGAAAUAUAUGACUUCACUCCGUCACCUCUACACUCAUGGCUGUCCGGAGUUGAAGAGCAUGCCUCCAGAACUCGGAAAACUCACGAAGCUGCAAACGCUUACAUGUUUUGUAGCAGCAGUUGCCGGACCUGAUUGCAGUGAUGUUGCGGAGCUGCAGCAUUUAAACCUUGGUGGUCGGCUAGAGCUGUGUCAGCUAGAGAAUGUUACAUCAGGAGAGGCAAGAGUGGCAAGUCUUGGAAAUAAAAAGGAUCUCAGAGAACUGACAUUCAGAUGGACUUCUCUUUGUGACAGCAUGGUGCUCAACUAUUUUGAACCUCAUUGCGGCCUGCAGGUUCUGAGGAUAUAUUCCUAUGGAGGAGAGUGCAUUGGUAUGUUGCAAAACAUGGUUGAGAUCCAUCUUUUUCAUUGUGCAAAAUUGCAAUUUUUGGUCAGAUGCAGUACAUUCUCUACUUUUCCAAAACUGAAGCAGCUUACGCUAGAACAUCUAUUGGAUUUGGAUAGAUGA